Molecule: ribosomal RNA, 500 nt
Filed under: uncultured bacterium
Lineage: Bacteria
Description: partial 16S ribosomal RNA
Rfam family: Bacterial small subunit ribosomal RNA
Source: RNAcentral
AUUGAACGCUGGCGGAAUGCUUUACACAUGCAAGUCGAACGGCAGCACGGACUUCGGUCUGGUGGCGAGUGGCGAACGGGUGAGUAAUACAUCGGAACGUGCCCAAUCGUGAGGGAUAACGUAGCGAAAGCUACGCUAAUACCGCAUACGAUCUAAGGAUGAAAGCGGGGGAUCGCAAGACCUCGCGCGAUUGGAGCGGCCGAUGGCAGAUUAGGUAGUUGGUAGGGUAAAGGCCUACCAAGCCGACGAUCUGUAGCUGGUCUGAGAGGAUGAUCAGCCACACUGGGACUGAGACACGGCCCAGACUCCUACGGGAGGCAGCAGUGGGGAAUUUUGGACAAUGGACGCAAGUCUGAUCCAGCCAUUCCGCGUGCAGGAUGAAGGCCCUCGGGUUGUAAACUGCCUUUGUACGGAACGAAACGGUGAGCUCUAAUACAGUUUGCUAAUGACGGUACCGUAAGAAUAAGCACCGGCUAACUACGUGCCAGCAGCCGCAGUAA